RNAcentral lists this non-coding RNA (852 nucleotides) under Trichomonas vaginalis G3. Its description in RNAcentral is "Eukaryotic large subunit ribosomal RNA". It matches the Rfam family "Eukaryotic large subunit ribosomal RNA", at positions 375 to 1504 of the family's 3401-position model. Lineage: Eukaryota; Parabasalia; Trichomonadida; Trichomonadidae. The record is from Rfam by way of RNAcentral.
UCUAAAACAGAGGGUGAAAAGUUCCUGAACUUGCUUAGGGUUAAGGCUAUUUAUAGUACCCGUCUUGAAACACGGAUUAGGGAGUUUAUCUGUAGUGCGAGUCUUUGCACGUUAACUGUAAAGGCGUAGAGAAAGCAACUGGCGUUUGCAUGGCUACUGAGCAUUACUGAUAGGACCCGAAAGGUGGUGAACUUUGCCUGCACAGGUUGAAGUCAGGGGAAACUCUGAUGGAGGACCGUACGGGUUAUUGAUGUGCAAAUCAUUUUUCUGAUGUAGGUAAAGGUGCGAAAGACUCAUCGACCCACCUAAUAGCUGGUUUCUUCCGAAGUUUCCCUCAGGAUAGCUGUAAUGCAUUUAGUUAAGGGGAGUAGAGAUAUGGGUAGAGGUGCAGGGAGCCUUCGGGUUCUCAACUUAUUUCCAAACUUCGAACCUCCUUGUUAGGCAUUUACCUAACUGGAAAUGCUUAAAUGAAUUAGCGUUACAAGUGGGCUCUGACCGGUAAGCGGUCAUGGCGAAAUGGGAUGAACCAUACGUCUGAAUAAGGUGCCGAAAUGUACUAUCACUGAUACCAUAAAGGGAGUCCAUGUAUUUAGACAGCAGGUCGGUGCCCCUAAAAGCAGGUAUCCGCUAAAGAGUGUGUUAAAACUCACCUGCCGAAUACUAGGGCCCCGAAAAUGAAUGGCGCAUAUAGUACUACCGAUCUCAGACAUCAGUUCUAUUGAACUGAGAGUAGGGGGAUGUGGACAUUUUUGUGAAGGUGCAAUGUGAGUUGGACUGGAAGAAUGUCUAUUACAGAUCCUAAUUGAAGUAGCGAUUAUCCAGGCUUGUAUCCUGGGGGCUGAUGAGGAGUAG